Daucus carota subsp. sativus is the source of this 1743-nucleotide long non-coding RNA. RefSeq lists it as uncharacterized. The record is from RefSeq and is a predicted model, not a curated record. NCBI's taxonomy places the organism in Eukaryota, Viridiplantae, Streptophyta, Magnoliopsida, Apiales, Apiaceae. The transcript is spliced from 3 exons.
AAGAUAUUCUGCAUUAGUUCACUUAUAACUUAUGUGCUAAUAUUUUGUGGCACCUAUAUUUUGACGUGCACCCAGGUUGCUUAGGAGUAUGUUGUAAGGUUUCACUGCCAUACAACAAUAGUUUCAAUUUGAUUUUAUAGAACUUCAUUACAUGUCCUCAACAAAAUAUACUGUAUCAUCUCAACUAAACACAACAAAUAUGACUACAGAAUAAGAGUUUGGCUAAUCAAGUUCUGGUGGGAUGUAACUAGGGCUGUAGAAGAAUCACCUGCUUCAACAUAAUAGUGGUGGAUAACAAGUUAAGUUAAUACAAACUACCAGAGCAGAGCACAUAGAAGUCUCUGACUGUCGGGUAAAUUUUUUUUAUUAACUUGGGAAUUUACUCACACAUUCAUGCACUAACAACGAAUUACAAGGUUAUUCAAUUUGGAUGAAACUCAAGGAUCUACAGAUAGAAUUGUGGGAACAUAGUAAGUCUUCUGACCAAAUUGUAGCAUAAGAAUUAAAUAUAAUAGUAACAAUAGUAUAUACCUUUGCGGAUAUAUGGCACCUAAGUAUGUAAUGCAUGAACAUUUCUCGGUUAAGUUUGAAGUAUUUAGUUUUGGAAAUGUAGAUGAUAUUGCAGACCUUGCAAGUUGUGGAAGUUUUAGUUUUCACAGAGUUCAUGCAUCGAUUUCUUAUACUGAAUGCAUUCAGUUAGCAUACUUGAUCACAUUCAUAAUAUAAUGCAUCAUUUGUAUCUGAUUAAACUUAUGUUUCUCAUGCCCAGAAGAAUUGGCAAAAAGGGACUGCAACACUAAUAUUAUCGAUCCAGUACUGAGAAAUAAUCCAACAUCAAUACGCGAAAUGAUAAGAUGUAUUAACAUGGGGUUACUAUGUGUGCAAGAAAAUGUUACAAACAGACCUGCCAUGACUUCUGUGAUACUUAUGCUUAACAGUUUUCUCUCACUCUGCAGGUGCCUUCCAAGCCUGCCUUCUUUGUACCAAGUAACGUUGAUCCAGAACUACCAUUGCUUACACAUGAUCCCAACUCAAGAGUUAGUGGCAAAUCCGAUUAUUAUGUCAUUCAUCCAUUGACAAUGCUUCAAUCACCGAUACAUAUCCACGACGAUUAAUAGUUAAUUACUAUCUAUAUUACAUUGCUUUGCUGCUUUCUACUGUGAUUUGUGUGCAAGGAUAGUUCCUCAUGCCGAGAAAAGAUUUAGGCUUCAUGUGGUGGCUUACGAUCAAACUGGAAAAUUGGAUGUUAUAAUCAGUGAUCGUGAGGUUUACGAGCCUCAUAGGUUCAUAGGUUACAGAGCCAGAGAUGUUAUACCGGAGGGAGCUCUUCCGGCUUUCUUUCCAAAUCAGUUGAGGCAGUUUACAGACAAACAUUCACAAUCAUGCUGCAAAUUUGUGAUGAGAACGUUAAGAAGAAUGUUAAAUUGUACUCAGUAAGAAACAUCUGCAUGUGAUUCAAACGGGACAACACAGUGAACUCAGGAAAAACAGAAGAACAAAGGGCAUCUACCAGGUGUUGCCCAACUGAAACAACAACAUCGUACUAUCAUCUUCAAGGCGCUACAGAAGACAACUUAGACUCAUCAACCGUUACUCAGAAACAGUAAAAUGGCUGCAAAACUCUUUUGCUCUGUCCAUGAGUACAUGGGUGUAAUUUUAUUUGUGUCUGCACUAACAAACAACAGUCUGUAAUUUUAUCCAAAUAUGUAUUUGGAUUAACUUAUGUUAUCUUUUGUUAUCAGA